CUAGGUGGCUAUAGAGAGAGGGAAACGCCUGGCCCCAUUCCGAACCCAGAAGCUAAGCCUCUCAUCGCUGAUAAUACUGCA
This 81-nucleotide ribosomal RNA is filed under the name Sulfurimonas crateris. The record is from RNAcentral. Lineage: Bacteria; Pseudomonadati; Campylobacterota; Epsilonproteobacteria; Campylobacterales; Sulfurimonadaceae.